UAUUUUAUUAAACAAAUCAUCAUUAAAGAUUAAGAGAAAUAUGAAUAUGAUAUUAGAUUGGACAUCAUUCCAUAUCUAGAGUCAUAUUCGGGGUGUAGAGAUAUCGUAGGAUCGAAUUGCAUGAUAACUUUUCACUGAAGAAUAUUUUUAAUAUUUUUAUUAAAAUUUUAUAUCUUUUAGGUAGACAUAAUAUGUUGCUAGAUGUCAAUCUUGUCUUGUAGGCUUGAUCGAAUUAAAGAGUUUAAUUCGAUCGCCAAUUAGAAAGAGUUCUAAUUGCUAGAAUUGGGUUAACUCGAUUGGAUCU
This 304-nucleotide long non-coding RNA is filed under the name Elaeis guineensis (African oil palm). Its description in RNAcentral is "long non-coding RNA (EGUI_LNC061995)". The record is from RNAcentral. Lineage: Eukaryota; Viridiplantae; Streptophyta; Magnoliopsida; Arecales; Arecaceae.